RNAcentral lists this ribosomal RNA (331 nucleotides) under uncultured bacterium. RNAcentral's name for it is "bacterial SSU rRNA". It matches the Rfam family "Bacterial small subunit ribosomal RNA", at positions 28 to 319 of the family's 1533-position model. The record is from RNAcentral.
GACGGACGCUGGCGGCGUGCCUAAUACAUGCAAGUCGAACGCACUCUCGUUUAGAUUGAAGGAGCUUGCUCCUGAUUGAUAAACAUUUGAGUGAGUGGCGGACGGGUGAGUAACACGUGGGUAACCUGCCCUAAAGUGGGGGAUAACAUUUGGAAACAGAUGCUAAUACCGCAUAAAACCUAACAACCGCAUGGUGUAGGGUUGAAAGAUGGUUUCGGCUAUCACUUUAGGAUGGACCGCGGUGCAUUAGUUAGUUGGUGAGGUAAAAGGGACUCACCAAGAACCGUGAUGCAUAAGCCGACCUGAGAGGGUAAAUCGGCCACACUGGGAC